This 478-nucleotide ribosomal RNA is filed under the name uncultured bacterium. RNAcentral's name for it is "partial 16S ribosomal RNA". It matches the Rfam family "Bacterial small subunit ribosomal RNA", at positions 28 to 523 of the family's 1533-position model. The record is from RNAcentral.
GACGAACGCUGGCGGCGUGCUUAACACAUGCAAGUCGAACGGUAAGGCCCUUCGGGGUACACGAGUGGCGAACGGGUGAGUAACACGUGGGUGAUCUGCCCUGCACUUCGGGAUAAGCCUGGGAAACUGGGUCUAAUACCGGAUAGGACCCUGGGAUGCAUGUCCUGGGGUGGAAAGCUUUUGCGGUGUGGGAUGGGCCCGCGGCCUAUCAGCUUGUUGGUGGGGUGAUGGCCUACCAAGGCGACGACGGGUAGCCGGCCUGAGAGGGUGACCGGACACACUGGGACUGAGAUACGGCCCAGACUCCUACGGGAGGCAGCAGUGGGGAAUAUUGCACAAUGGGCGCAAGCCUGAUGCAGCGACGCCGCGUGAGGGAUGACGGCCCUCGGGUUGUAAACCUCUUUCAGCACCGACGAAGCGCAAGUGACGGUAGGUGCAGAAGAAGGACCGGCCAACUACGUGCCAGCCGCCGCAGUAA